This 967-nucleotide long non-coding RNA is filed under the name Carica papaya (papaya). RNAcentral describes it as "long non-coding RNA (CPAP_LNC001386)". Lineage: Eukaryota; Viridiplantae; Streptophyta; Magnoliopsida; Brassicales; Caricaceae. The record is from RNAcentral.
CCAGUGAUGAUGAUCAUGUGAUAAACAUUGAUGAUGAUGAUGAAGAUUGGCACCGCCAACAAAGAAAACAGAAGUACAGGACAAUGCGAAUGGCGCCAAAUAAAUUGCUAUUUCUAUUAACCAACAUCAGAUCUGAGGUAAGUUUGGUUUCUUCCAUUCAUGGCCUUACCGGGUUCAAGUUACCGGAAUCCACCAUGAAUCUCGCCCAUUUUCAUCCGUAACCAAGAAAAAUAUCCUAGCUGGAUGGCAUACGAUUUCACCAUAAAAGUCAACUACUUUCUUCAUAUAGUGAUGGCAACUGUCUAAUAUCCUAGCGAUACAACAUAAAUUUUCAAAACAAGCUGCCUGGUUCUCAGCACUCAAAUAAACAUGCUUAGUCUAAUACAUGAUACAGAAGUGAAGAUCAAAACAGAAUAAAACUGGUUAAAUGAAAUGUCCCUGAAUCUAGAAAGUAUUCUGUGGAUUAAUCCUCCUCCUACCUUCUCGUCUAUAAUAUGGUGUUUCAUCUACUGUUCUUCUAACAUAAUCUAUAAAAGGUUGUGGAGUUCUCGGAGAUUGUUCAGUGAUAACAGAAGGAUUGCUCCUAUCAGGUGUUCCAGGGGCUGCAAUGCUUGGAGCAGCUGGAGCAUUUGAUGACUGAGAUCUAUAUGUUCUUCUAUCCAGGAGUCCUAUCAGGAUGAUCAACGUCAAGAUUAGAACGGCAAAGCUUACAAGCAUUUUCACCCAAAAGGUUAUAUUUGUGGUUGUUCCUAAUGCUGCUCUUUCCCCAGGUUCAUAGCUAAGAUCAAUUUCCUUUCUUUGACCUGUAAAACAGUUGAAUAGCAGAUGAAUUUUUUUCCUCCAAGUCAUUUUCCCUCUCUCAAAUAAAACUUUAUGUUUGCAGAUAACAGGGCGCAGGAGAAGAAAGCUCACCAUUGGCUGGUAGUGUGAUAAUAAUCUUAUCCCUGAAUCUCUCAUUUCUUAGCAC